GGUUGUAGCUCAGUGGUAGAGCACUGGCCUAGCCUGUGUGAGGCACUGGGUUCAAUUCUCAGCACCA
RNAcentral lists this transfer RNA (67 nucleotides) under Marmota monax (woodchuck). Its description in RNAcentral is "tRNA.Ala". Lineage: Eukaryota; Metazoa; Chordata; Mammalia; Rodentia; Sciuridae. The record is from RNAcentral.